GACGAACGCUGGCGGCGUGCCUAAUACAUGCAAGUCGAACGAACGGAUAAAGAGCUUGCUCUUUUGAAGUUAGUGGCGGACGGGUGAGUAACACGUGGGUAACCUGCCUCACAGCUGGGGAUAACAUCGAGAAAUCGAUGCUAAUACCGAAUGUGCUGAACAUCAUAAGAUGUUCAAGUGAAAGACGGUUUCGGCUGUCACUGUGAGAUGGACCCGCGCUGGAUUAGCUAGUUGGUAAGGUAAUGGCUUACCAAGGCGACGAUCCAUAGCCGACCUGAGAGGGUGAUCGGCCACAUUGGGACUGAGACACGGCCCAAACUCCUACGGGAGGCAGCAGUAGGGAAUCUUCGGCAAUGGACGAAAGUCUGACCGAGCAACGCCGCGUGAGCGAAGAAGGCCUUCGGGUCGUAAAGCUCUGUUGUUAGAGAAGAACAUGGGUGAGAGUAACUGUUCACCACUUGACGGUAUCUAACCAGAAAGCCACGGCUAACUACGUG
This 497-nucleotide ribosomal RNA is filed under the name uncultured bacterium. Its description in RNAcentral is "partial 16S ribosomal RNA". It matches the Rfam family "Bacterial small subunit ribosomal RNA", at positions 28 to 507 of the family's 1533-position model. The record is from RNAcentral.